Molecule: ribosomal RNA, 253 nt
Filed under: uncultured bacterium
Lineage: Bacteria
Description: partial 16S ribosomal RNA
Rfam family: Bacterial small subunit ribosomal RNA
Source: RNAcentral
UACAGAGGGUGCGAACGUUGCUCGGAAUUACUGGGCGUAAAGCGCGUGUAGGCGGUCCGUUAAGUUGGUAGUGAAAUCCCAUGGCUCAACCAUGGAAGUGCUGCCAAAACUGGCGGGCUGGAGUGCCGGAGAGGGUGGCGGAAUUCCCAGUGUAGAGGUGAAAUUCGUAGAUAUUGGGAGGAACACCGGUGGCGAAGGCGGCCACCUGGACGGUAACUGACGCUAAGACGCGAAAGCCAGGGGAGCAAACGGG